UACGUAGGGUGCAAGCGUUGUCCGGAAUUAUUGGGCGUAAAGAGCUCGUAGGCGGUCUGUCACGUCUGCUGUGAAAACUCGGGGCUUAACCCCGGGCCUGCAGUGGGUACGGGCAGACUAGAGUGCGGUAGGGGAGACUGGAAUUCCUGGUGUAGCGGUGAAAUGCGCAGAUAUCAGGAGGAACACCGGUGGCGAAGGCGGAUCUCUGGGCCAUUACUGACGCUGAGGAGCGAAAGCGUGGGGAGCGAACAGG
This 253-nucleotide ribosomal RNA is filed under the name uncultured bacterium. RNAcentral's name for it is "partial 16S ribosomal RNA". It matches the Rfam family "Bacterial small subunit ribosomal RNA", at positions 524 to 776 of the family's 1533-position model. The record is from RNAcentral.